AGCAGCCGCGGUAAUUCCAGCUCCAAUAGCGUAUAUUAAAGUUGUUGCAGUUAAAAAGCUCGUAGUUGAAUUUCGGGAUUAGUACGUUGGUCGUGCCUUCGGUACGUACUGGUGUUACUGNUUCCUACCUUCUGACGAACCAUCAUGUCAUUAAUUUGGUGUGGCGGGGAAUCAGGACUGUUACUUUGAAAAAAUUAGAGUGUUUAAAGCAGGCUCGCGCUUGAAUACAUUAGCAUGGAAUAAUGAAAUAGGACGUUGACCCUAUUUUGUUGGUUUCUAGGAUUGACGUAAUGAUUAAUAGGGAUAGUUGGGGGCAUUAGUAUUCAAUUGUCAGAGGUGAAAUUCUUGGAUUUAUUGAAGACUAACUACUGCGAAAGCAUUUGCCAAGGAUGUUUUCAUUAAUCAAGAACGAAAGUUAGGGGAUCGAAGACGAUCAGAUACCGUCGUAGUCUUAACC
This 457-nucleotide ribosomal RNA is filed under the name uncultured Glomus. RNAcentral's name for it is "SSU rRNA". It matches the Rfam family "Eukaryotic small subunit ribosomal RNA", at positions 569 to 1031 of the family's 1831-position model. The record is from RNAcentral. Lineage: Eukaryota; Fungi; Glomeromycota; Glomeromycetes; Glomerales; Glomeraceae.